CUGUGACAAGCAGGUUCCGAGCCGGUGGCUGGCAGAGGCACCGUGGGCACUGCCGUGGGCACACCGCAGAGUGGGAGCCAGGCUGUGCUGGAGGCACCAGGCGUCUGGGGGUGGCCGCUGCCCCCGUAACCUGCCACGGCAGCUGGGCGUGGAUCUGCUGUGGCCACCGGAGCUGCUGGUGCGAAGCAAGUUGGGAGGGUGCUGAGCUGUGAGGACCAGCGUCCCAGCUGACUGCAAACCAUGAGGCUUCUCCCCCUGCUGCUUGUGCUGCUCUUAGGGAUCUGCCUGGCCCCUGCAGCGCGUGGCCAGCGCAUGACUCGGGAUCUCAGACACUGCCUGGAGAAAGGCGGGACGUGCCGCUAUAACGACUGCGAUGACGACGAAGUGGAGAUCGGCACCUGCUACCACCAUACCAUGAUAUGCUGCCGGGAUUAGGAGGGGAUGCUACCCCAGAGACAUCCCCUUCCCAGAUGCCACCAAAACGUCUGCUCCUUGUCUUCUUUUUUAAUUAAAAAUCAGCUGGUGUUAAA
Molecule: non-coding RNA, 530 nt
Organism: Pelodiscus sinensis (Chinese soft-shelled turtle)
Lineage: Eukaryota; Metazoa; Chordata; Testudines; Trionychidae
Source: RefSeq, a predicted model, not a curated record